This 255-nucleotide ribosomal RNA is filed under the name uncultured bacterium. RNAcentral describes it as "partial small subunit ribosomal RNA". It matches the Rfam family "Bacterial small subunit ribosomal RNA", at positions 26 to 285 of the family's 1533-position model. The record is from RNAcentral.
AGGACGAACGCUGGCGGCGUGCUUAACACAUGCAAGUCGAACGGUGAAGCCUUUCGGGAUGGACCAGUGGCGAACGGGUGAGUAACACGUGGGCAAUCUGCCCUGCAUUCUGGGACAAGCCUUGGAAACGAGGUCUAAUACCGGAUACGACGCAUCCCCGCAUGGGGUGUGCGUGGAAAGCUCCGGCGAUGCAGGAUGAGCCCGCGGUCUAUCAGCUUGUUGGUGGGUGAUGGCCUACCAAGGCGACGACGGGUA